This 344-nucleotide ribosomal RNA is filed under the name uncultured bacterium. Its description in RNAcentral is "bacterial SSU rRNA". It matches the Rfam family "Bacterial small subunit ribosomal RNA", at positions 8 to 334 of the family's 1533-position model. The record is from RNAcentral.
AGGGUUCGAUUAUGGCUCAGGAUGAACGCUGGCGGCGUGCUUAACACAUGCAAGUCGAACGAAGCAUUUUUGUGGAGACCUUCGGGAGGAAAUGGAAAUGACUGAGUGGCGGACGGGUGAGUAACGCGUGGGUAACCUGCCCUAUACAGGGGGAUAACAGCUAGAAAUGGCUGCUAAUACCGCAUAAGCGCACAGAGGCGCAUGCCUCCGUGUGAAAAGCCGAGACGGUAUAGGAUGGACCCGCGUCUGAUUAGCUAGUUGGUGAGGUAACGGCCCACCAAGGCGACGAUCAGUAGCCGACCUGAGAGGGUGACCGGCCACAUUGGGACUGAGACACGGCCCAA